RNAcentral lists this non-coding RNA (212 nucleotides) under Lactobacillus selangorensis. RNAcentral describes it as "Paralactobacillus selangorensis Bacterial large subunit ribosomal RNA". It matches the Rfam family "Bacterial large subunit ribosomal RNA", at positions 189 to 448 of the family's 2925-position model. Lineage: Bacteria; Bacillati; Bacillota; Bacilli; Lactobacillales; Lactobacillaceae. The record is from Rfam by way of RNAcentral.
GGAACUGAAACAUCUAAGUACCCUGAGGAAAAGAAAUCAACCGAGAUUCCCUUAGUAGUGGCGAGCGAACGGGGACUAGCCCUUAAGUGGCUUUGAGAUUAGCGGAACGCUCUGGAAAGUGCGGCCAUAGUGGGUGAUAGCCCUGUACGCGAAAAUCUCUUAGUCAUGAAAUCGAGUAGGACGGAGCACGAGAAACUUUGUCUGAAUAUGGG